Molecule: ribosomal RNA, 506 nt
Filed under: uncultured bacterium
Lineage: Bacteria
Description: partial 16S ribosomal RNA
Rfam family: Bacterial small subunit ribosomal RNA
Source: RNAcentral
GAUGAACGCUAGCUACAGGCUUAACACAUGCAAGUCGAGGGGUAACGAGAGGAAAGCUUGCUUUCCUUGUCGACGACCGGCGCACGGGUGAGUAACGCGUAUCCAACCUGCCCCCCAACUAAGGAAUAACCUUGCGAAAGUAAGACUAAUACCUUAUAAUUUCCUCAGAUGUCAUCUGACGAGGAAUAAAGAUUUAUCGGUUGUGGAUGGGGUUGCGUCUGAUUAGCUUGUUGGCGGGGUAACGGCCCACCAAGGCAACGAUCAGUAGGGGUUCUGAGAGGAAGGUCCCCCACAUUGGAACUGAGACACGGUCCAAACUCCUACGGGAGGCAGCAGUGAGGAAUAUUGGUCAAUGGGCGGAAGUCUGAACCAGCCAAGUAGCGUGCAGGAUGACGGCCCUAUGGGUUGUAAACUGCUUUUAUACAGGAAUAAGUUAGCCACGUGUGGUUAUUUGUAGGUACUGUAUGAAUAAGGACCGGCUAAUUCCGUGCCAGCAGCCGCAGUAA